Non-coding RNA from Hypoxylon cercidicola, 71 nucleotides. Lineage: Eukaryota; Fungi; Ascomycota; Sordariomycetes; Xylariales; Hypoxylaceae. The record is from the annotation of a GenBank genome assembly.
GGCCUAUUGGUUAAACUGGUUAAUACUAGUCUUGGGGUCACUAGGAGGGGGUUCGAAUCCCCCUCUAGCCA